AAGGCCGAACAGUCCCCUAGCCGCACUCAUGCAAAAUACCUGUGUCUGUGUACUUUUUUCAUCCGUCGCUCAGCCUGAGUCUGCAGGUCAGACUUGGCAGGAUUUUGACUUGAUAUAUUGUGUGUGUUUGGAAAUGGGGAAUAAUUCCUAUGCUUAUGUACUGUUGAUGGGAAUAUUAAUUGGUUCAGCCUUUCUGAAGGUCAGUCUAAUGUUACUUGUUAAAAUUUAAAUCUGUAUGCCUUUUGAUACAUCAAGUCCAUAUAUAAGAAUUUGCCCCCAUAGUAAUUCCAUGGACAUACAAAGAUGAGUAUAGGACUGUUUCUUGCAGGGUUCUUUCAAAAUUAUUGCUAGGUUGACUUUUAACUAAAUCCAAGUGAUGUUAUUUGUAAUGUAGUACUUAAAUGUUUUUCUUGUUGUUUUAGCCAAAACUGGACAAGCCAAGGCAUCUGUAGCCAAAGUAAACAAAUCUGCAGGGAAAUCAGCAAGUUCUGUAAAAUCUGUGGUAACGGUAGCUGUUAAAGGUAAUAAAGCUUCAAUCAAAACAGCAAAAUCUGGUGGAAAGAAGUCUCUAGAAGCCAAAAAGACUGGGAAUGUCAAAAACAAAGACUCUAACAAACCUGUGACUAUACCAGAAAACUCUGAAAUAAAGACCAGUAUUGAAGUCAAAGCCACUGAAAACUGUGCUAAAGAAGCUAUUUCUGAUGCUGCUUUGGAGGCCACAGAAAAUGAACCACUUAACAAGGAAACAGAAGAAAUGUGUGUGAUGCUUGUCUCUAAUUUGCCUAAUAAAGGAUAUUCUGUAGAAGAAGUUUAUGACUUAGCAAAACCAUUUGGUGGUUUAAAGGAUAUCUUGAUUUUAUCAUCUCAUAAAAAGGCAUAUAUAGAAAUAAAUAGAAAAGCUGCUGAGUCUAUGGUAAAAUUUUAUACCUGCUUCCCAGUAUUGAUGGAUGGAAAUCAACUCUCAAUAAGUAUGGCUCCUGAAAACAUGAAUAUAAAAGAUGAGGAAGCUAUAUUUAUAACCUUGGUAAAAGAAAAUGACCCAGAGGCAAACAUAGAUACAAUUUAUGAUCGAUUUGUACAUCUUGAUAAUUUACCGGAAGAUGGACUUCAGUGUGUACUUUGUGUUGGACUUCAGUUUGGAAAAGUGAAUCACCAUGUAUUCAUGAGUAAUAGAAACAAGGCAAUUCUUCAGUUAGAUAGUCCUGAAUCUGCUCAGUCAAUGUACAGCUUUCUGAAACAAAAUCCACAAAAUAUUGGUGACCAUAUGUUGACCUGCUCAUUAUCUCCAAAGAUAGACUUACCAGAGGUGCAAAUUGAGCAUGACCCAGAAUUAGAAAAAGAAAGCCCUGGCUUGAAAAACAGUCCAGUUGAUGAAAGUGAGGUGCAAACAGCAACUGAUAGUCCCUCUGUUAAACCUAAUGAGCUUGAAGAAGAAAGUACUCCCAGCAUUCAAACAGAAACUUUGGUACAGGAGGAAGAGCCUUGUGAGGAAGAACCUGAAAAAGCAACAUGUGAUUCUGACUUUGCUAUUGAAACUUUGGAGCUUGAAACUCAAGGAGAGGAGGUCAAAGAAGAAAUUCCUCUUGUAGCAUCCGCUCCAGUCAGUAUUGAACAAUUCACUGAAAAUGCCGAGGAGUGUGCUUUAAAUCAGCAGAUGUUUAACAGUGACUUGGAGAAGAAAGAGGCAGAAAUUAUUAACCCUAAAACAGCAUUGUUACCAUCUGACAGUGUGUUUGUAGAAGAAAGGAACCUCAAAGGAAUUCUAGAAGAAUCUCCAUCUGAAGCAGAAGAUUUCAUUUCUGGAAUUACACAGACUAUGGUAGAAGCUGUAGCUGAAGUAGAAAAAAAUGAAACUGUUUCAGAAAUAUUGCCAUCAACUUGUAUUGUGACGUUAGUACCAGGAAUUCCCACUGGGGAUGAGAAGACAGUGGACAAAAAGAAUAUUUCUGAAAAAAAAGGUAACAUGGAUGAAAAGGAGGAGAAUGAAUUUAAUACUAAGGAAACCAGAAUGGAUCUUCAAAUAGGAACAGAGAAGGCUGAAAAGAAGGAAGGUGUGGAAAAGAUGGCAGCAAUGAAAGAAAAGCCUGCAGAAAACACUUUAUUCAAGGCAUACCCAAAUAAAGGAGUGGGUCAGGCUAAUAAGCCUGAUGAAACUAGUAAAACUAGUAUUCUGGCUGUAUCAGAUGUAUCUAGCAGUAAACCAAGCAUCAAGGCUGUUAUAGUCUCUUCUCCUAAGGCAAAAGCUACAGUUUCAAAAACUGAAAAUCAGAAAAGUUUUCCAAAAUCUGUGCCCAGAGAUCAAAUAAAUGCUGAAAAGAAACUUUCAGCCAAGGAAUUUGGUCUGCUUAAACCCACAAGUGCCAGGUCAGGCUUGGCAGAAAGCAGCAGUAAAUUCAAACCUACUCAGAGCAGUCUUACCAGAGGAGGCAGUGGAAGGAUCUCAGCCCUGCAAGGCAAGCUUUCUAAACUGGAUUACAGGGAUAUAACAAAACAAUCUCAGGAAACGGAGGCUAGACCUUCCAUCAUGAAACGGGAUGACAGCAACAAUAAGACUUUGGCUGAGCAAAACACUAAGAAUCCUAAAAGCACUACUGGUAGAAGUUCCAAAUCUAAAGAGGAGCCAUUAUUUCCAUUUAAUUUGGAUGAAUUUGUUACUGUGGAUGAGGUUAUAGAAGAAGUGAAUCCUUCUCAGGCCAAGCAGAAUCCACUAAAGGGAAAAAGGAAAGAAACUCUCAAAAAUGUUCCUUUCUCUGAACUUAACUUAAAGAAGAAAAAGGGGAAAACUUCCGCUCCUCGUGGUGUUGAGGGAGAAUUAUCUUUUGUAACAUUGGAUGAGAUUGGGGAAGAGGAAGAUGCAGCUGCACAUCUAGCACAAGCUCUAGUCACUGUGGAUGAAGUAAUUGAUGAAGAAGAACUAAAUAUGGAAGAAAUGGUAAAAAAUUCAAAUUCACUUUUUACAUUAGAUGAAUUAAUUGACCAAGAUGAUUGCAUUUCCCACAGUGAACCUAAAGAUGUUACUGUUCUGUCAGUGGCUGAAGAACAAGAUCUCCUCAAACAGGAACGCUUGGUAACUGUGGAUGAAAUUGGAGAAGUGGAAGAGCUACCUUUGAAUGAGUCAGCAGACAUAACUUUUGCCACUUUAAAUACUAAAGGAAAUGAAGGAGAUACUGUAAGGGAUUCCAUUGGCUUUAUUUCUUCUCAGAUGCCCGAAGACCCUUCUACUUUAGUUACUGUAGAUGAAAUACAAGAUGACAGCAGUGAUUUGCAUUUAGUGACUUUGGAUGAAGUAACUGAAGAGGAUGAAGACUCUCUGGCAGAUUUUAACAACCUUAAAGAAGAGCUUAAUUUUGUUACUGUUGAUGAAGUUGGAGAGGAGGAAGAUGGAGAUAAUGAUUUAAAAGUUGAGUUAGCACAAAGCAAAAAUGACCAUCCCACAGAUAAAAAAGGGAAUAGAAAGAAGAGAGCUGUGGACACAAAAAAGACAAAACUUGAAUCCUUGUCCCAAGUGGGUCCAGUAAAUGAGAAUGUUAUGGAAGAAGAUCUAAAAACCAUGAUUGAAAGACACUUAACAGCUAAAACUCCAACCAAGAGAGUUAGAAUUGGGAAAACUCUGCCAUCAGAAAAAGCUGUUGUGACAGAACCAGCAAAAGGUGAAGAGGCCUUCCAGAUGAGUGAAGUUGAUGAGGAAUCUGGAUUAAAGGAUUCAGAACCAGAGCGAAAACGCAAGAAGACUGAAGACUCUUCUUCAGGCAAAUCAGUGGCGUCUGAUGUCCCUGAGGAAUUAGACUUUCUUGUACCUAAGGCUGGAUUCUUCUGUCCAAUUUGUUCCCUCUUCUACUCAGGUGAAAAAGCAAUGACAAAUCACUGCAAGAGUACACGUCAUAAGCAAAAUACUGAGAAAUUCAUGGCCAAGCAAAGAAAGGAAAAGGAGCAGAAUGAGGCUGAAGAAAGAAGCUCUAGGUGAUUGGGGGAAAGGAAAGAAUUCACUAGAAAUUUGUUUAGGGUCCAGUUGAUUUGUGUAUUUUUGUUAUCAUUUAAUUUGUAAUUUUCGUUUCAGAAGCAAAUAUUCGUGUUGUACAAAUUUCUGAUUGCCCUAAAUGUAGAGAGACUGAUGGGGAAAGUAUGAUGGGUUUGAUUUUUAUAUCAAAUCAUCAGGCAUGGAGAAAUAUCUUUUAGAAGUGUUAAAAUAAAUGUUCCUACUGUAUAUUUAAAAUA
This 4215-nucleotide small RNA is filed under the name Pan troglodytes (chimpanzee). Its description in RNAcentral is "retained intron". Lineage: Eukaryota; Metazoa; Chordata; Mammalia; Primates; Hominidae. The record is from RNAcentral.